Molecule: non-coding RNA, 18 nt
Filed under: Mus musculus (house mouse)
Lineage: Eukaryota; Metazoa; Chordata; Mammalia; Rodentia; Muridae
Source: RNAcentral
UAGCUUCAGCCCUACACA